CGGGAAGGGCUCGGAUACGCCGCGUGGCCCGGGGAAGGGCCAAUGGCAGGGGCAAGUGCUUCUUCCCGCCCUUCUGGAAAGGGAGCUAUAGAAUCCCGUUCGAAGAUGGUGUCUCUUUCCUUCCCUUAAUCGAGGCCCAUUCGAAAAGGGCGGGAAGCAAGGAUCAAAGGGAAGAGGUCACGCCGGCCUCGUCUUAAAUCCGGGUUAGGCGAAAUCAGUGCUUUUUAUGGGGGCACGCAGGGGGUGCGCACACUCCUAAACGUUUUGUACUUUGUCCAUUUAGUGUAUUUAUUUUUUGCAAUUUGAACUAUACAGUAAAAUGGUGGUUUUCUUGAGUCAAAAUGAAGUACCCCCUUAAACAUUUUUUUUUUUUAAAAAAAGCACUGGUCGAAAUAGUUUUGGUUUUGCAGGAAGGCGCCCUAAUUUUUAACCCCAAAAAAUAGAAAGGAAAAGAGAAAGUAGAGUUUCCUUUUCUCCUGACACAUCGGCCUGGAAGUUGUUUGGACCCUUUAAAAGGUGCUAUUAAGGAUGCAGAAUAAUAUGCUGAGGGUGGAUAGCAGUGUAAAUUGAUUAAGAAACAACAACAUCUCCAUCAUUUUGACAUGUUAAGCUGGGGGUGGGGGAAGGAGAGAGAACUUUCCAGGAACUCUUUAAGUUUGUGUUGUUCCAUGCCAAGAAGUUGUGGGGCAGAGAGAAUUCAGCUUUACGAUAAUCAGUAGUAAUAAUAUAAUCACAAUAAUUAUUACAGUAAACAGCCAUUUUAAAAUGGCUUUUUUAUUGCUUGUGUUGCUGUUAUUCGGUGGUAUUAACAAGCAGAGUUAUAAGGUGGUCCACCUGCCCUGCUUCCAACACCAGCAAGCCACACUGUUCCUCCACUGGCUGUUUUCAUUCUCAUAAUGCAGCUAUAUAAGGUUAAUAUAAGGAUAUAUGCCUGCAAGUUGCAGAACAUGGGAAACAGCUAUAAUAAAAGGGUGCAGAUAAUAGCCAUCUUGCAUAUUUUAAUCCAUCCCUUUCCAGGGCAGUUAAACAUAAAUCCUGGCUGGAAUUAAACUUAAUGUUUCUAUUUCCCUGUUAACACUACUGAAAAAUAGCACUUUGGAUGAAUUUAAUUAAAUGAGGAAGUAAGUGAAGGUUAGUUGAGUGUCAUAGUUUCUGAAGACUCUUGAUCUAGAAUGUGAGAACAGGCCUUUUAUGUAGGGGGGAAGGUUAUUUACUGUAAAUAGGAGCCACAACGGAGUAUUCCGUGGGGGCCGAGACAACAAGCUCACAGGUUACAUUACUCAGAAGGGCUUUGCUCAGUGCAAAUUCUUUCCACUUUUUGCUAGUUACUGUUUUACUUUCCUUGGAUUAGUGCCCUCUUUGAAUAAACUUGGCAGAAUGACUUGAAGAAAAAUCCAAAUGAGAGCCUCAAGAGACAGUACUGGAUAACUAGAGGCUGCCUUAGAUAUGGUGCACCAGUACUGCAGUAAUUCUUUCAGUUACUGAUACUGCUGUUGCAAACUUUAAAAACUUAAACAGGACCAGUGUCUGUUGGUGAAUGUAUAUGCAAGCCUCCCAGUUAUGCAGGGCAGCUGUUUUUCCAUUCAGUUUUUUUCUGAUGAAGAAUUCUGUGCUACCUGGAAGUUUUUGUAUCCUGUCACCAAGUUGCUUUUUCAGAAACCAGUUGUGGAACUUGAUUCUAGGUAAAUGGUCCAUGAGAUUGGGUGAGCAGGAACUACAAAGUAAUUGGGAGGUUAUAAUACAUCAUUUGCCAAAGAAAACAUUGAUUCCUUGCUCUUACAUGGAUAUCUGACAUUUCAUUCUAAGGAUACAAGCAGUGCUUUGUAGAUUGAGAACAAACCUAUGAUGUAAUUUGGAGAACAUGAGGUUGAUGGGAGAGGACUUGGCUGAGCUGUAGGAAUGCUUUAAGGUUCAGUGGGGAAGGCUGUGAAACUCAAAGGUCGUGGAUUUUUAAAUGUUGCCAAGUUAAUAGUUUGUAACUGAGAGUCCAAGGUAUUUAGGAAGCAAACAUUACAGGGUGGGAAGAUUAGUGAAAGAUUCUUUUCAUGAUAUAGUAAUCAGAAAAGGACUGAGAAGCACAAUGGGCAAGCAGUAAAGGAAAAUAUGAUUUUUUAAAAAUCCUAUUUUAAUUCAGGGAAUGUUCAGCUGGUUUGGAAUAAAUGUGAAAGCACAUAAACUAUGAUCCAGAUUCCAGACUAGCCCCACUUUUAUAUACGUGCAGAUGAAUUAUUGUUCCCCCUCCGUGUGUAAGGGCUGAAUAGCUGCAGAUUCACAGCCUUUAGGGGGAAAUUGUAUUCUCCUUGCCAUAUUCCAUUCAAAAAGCAGCUCCAUUGACAUUAAUCUGUGUAAAUGGUUUGAGGACUGCAUCCUUAAAGUUCUGGCAGUGAAAUUGAGGCAGACUUUGUUAUUGUAGCUCCAAGAAACUCCUUGUGGUAGAUGUGGAGACAAAGUACGGCACUGAGUGUUGAGUCCAAUGUAGCAUCUUAUUUAUAUCAGUUACUAAUUUGGAAUUAAAGUUCAAAAUGUUUCAGGUCAAAGGCAUGCAGACAGGCCUAAAGGAAUACUGUACUUUCCUUUACAUCUUCAUAAACGUUUAUUUUCAUUUUGGAAAGGCUAACGAAAUGUUUGCCAGUCCAGUGGCCCGGAUCCUUUCCAUUUAAUUUACGUACAUGUGGGUAGAUUAUGUACAUGUGGGACAGGCCAAAUUUCCCAAUAAAUACAUGAAAACAUGCAAUCCGUAUAUUGGGUGAUAAUGUUAGAGUAGGCCUAUUAAUUUCAUUGGGUCUACCCUGAGCAUGAUUUAGUUGGCUAUCACCUAUUUAGAUUAUUUUCCUGUGUCAUUUUCUUUUUCACAGAUAUAUCAAUCUAUCUAACCUAGUACCCUUCUUUCAACAGUGGCCAUCCAUAUACUCCUGGGAAGCACACAAAACAGGGCAUCACUGAAAUAGGUAAGUAUUCCUUGAACAUCUCAGUCAAGAGGUAGAGUGCCUCUGAACAGAGAGGUUCUGCUUUAGCUAUUGUGAUUGAUAGCUGUUGGCAGACCUCUUUUUCAUGAACCACCAACUGAGAGUAUUUUAGGUUGUAGUCCUCUAAACACUUGCAUACGUACCUCGUGAGAAGUUCCAUUGAGCUCACUGGGACUUACUUUUUUUGCUUUAUUUUUUAGUAGACAUGCAUAGGAAGAAUUGCACUCUUCCAGUGCAAUCACAGAACCAUAAACCUAAGUACUUAAAUAGAAAUAAUUUAGCCCACCUAGAUAAUCCUGGGAAACAGUAUUUAUAAUGUUAUUUGCGCUAAGGUAGAUGGAUUGUUGCUUGUAGUAGUAGCAGCAGAUGAACUCUGCUACCAUGGAAAUUGAUUGUAAACUUGCUUAUAACAGAAUGCACCAGUAUACCAUGCUCAGCAAACAGUUAAGUGUAAAAAUAACCAAGGUUUUAUUGUAAAUUAUGUAUUGUUCCUUAUUUACUAUACCACACUUUAUGUGCACUUUUGGAUUCCGAUUUGAUUGAAACUCAUAAGAUCAAAGAAAACCUGUGGUUCUAGCAAAGGGAGCAGCUUAUAUUUGGGUAUUGUCUUUUUUCUCUCUCCCCCCCCCCCCCCCGAAUUUUAAAGGUGCGGCUUAUAUUCUGGUGUGGCUUAUAUUCGGGCCAAUACGGUAUAUAUUUUCUUGUGCUUUUUGAAAGUCCUCCAUGAGAAAGGUUGCACCUGAAGGCUCUCUAUUGAGGCUCAUGCUGCAGAGUAAUGUAUCUGUGGCUUGCAGAGCCAAACCAUGAAUGUUUUUAUACUAUUCCACUCUCAUGUCUAACCAGAAUUUUAUUAUUUUAGUCCCUAAUCAUAGUUUCUUAUUUUUGUCUGUCAUAAGCUAGGAAUUUGGGACAGAAUGUUUUUCUCAUUCUGGUUCCAGAAAUGAAAAGAUGCAAAAUAGUUAAGGUAAUAUUAUCUUACAUUUGACUGAGGCCUGCUGAAAACGUAGUAAUUAGGAAAUUAAAUUGGAAAGAAGAUAAGGUUUGCUGCAGUAAAAUUUUAUUAAUAGAUAACAAGUAGGUCAGUUUUCAAGAGCUAAGGGAGCUGCGAACGUUACAUAACAGCUGGAUAGAAACCCAGUGAGGCCAGCUGGGCUGCCUUUGGAAAUUUUUAGAAGAAUUUGUCAGAAAUGUGGAACUGCAGCCAGCUAGUAUAGGUUCAUAGCCUCUGUAAUUUUUUCAACAACCUUAGAUGGAAGAGGGCAAGCAAGCACAGCCAGAUGUCAAUCCCUGUAUCUUUUGCAUGAAGUGUCUUAGGCCUUUCAGACAGUUGUAGGAGUUGAAAUACAGUUUGUGGCUUUACAUUUAAAGCACAUUAGUUCUCCCCAAAGAAUAUUGAGAACUGUAAUUUGUUAAGGGUGCUGGGAAUUGUAGCUCUGUGAGGGGCAAACUAUAGUUCCCAGGAUUCUUUGGGGGAAGUCAUGUGCCUUGAAUGCAUUUUAAAUGUAUUGUGUGUAUAAGUUGUCUCUGUGAGUAAGUAUGAAGAAACACACAUUAUUGACCCUCUAUCACAUCAGUCCUUCUAUAAAGAGUUCUGUAGGAGGCAUUCUAGUCUAGCAAAACAACACCAACUACUUUCCAUCUAAUCUUAUAACUUGCCUUACGAUGGCAGUGAGUCUUAAAAUUGCUAAAUGCUUUGUUUGAAAUGUCCUUUCUAUAGGGGUGUGACUUGAUAUUAAUGGAAAAACUGACCCUAACAAAGUCUGAGACCAAAGGAACACACAAAAUCAGACAAAUUUUUAUAAAACUUGGUUGAGCUUUAUUUCCGACACAGCAGCAAAAAAAAUAUAUGGUUGUAGCCGACCAACAACUCAAGGGGACAUAUGUAAAUAUACCGUACUUUUAUUUGAAUGAGAAACAUUUGUGUGUACGGUAUUUGAAUGAUACUGGGACUGCGCUUGAGAGGUGGGAAGGAAGGAGUUUUCCUUUUUGAUUAUGUUUAUUAUGAGAUGAUUUUUAAAUACCUUUAAAAAAAUACCCAACAACCCUAGUUGCUCAAAGAUACACAGGCUUUAAAAAAACCCAACCAACUAGCUAAAAGUCAUUAUUUUAAAUUUGCUGCCUAUGAAAUGAAUUUCAGGAAAUCCAUUAAGCCCUCCUUAGGCUCUAGCUAGGAUUGCCAGAGCACUGAAUUCUUUAAAAGCAGCUAAGAAAACAUACCUGGCUAAGAACAUUUCCCAUCCUUUUCAGGGAAGGGAACUAUUCUGAAACUCUGUCUGAUGUCUUAUUAUUAUUAUUAUUGUUAAAAAAGCCUUUUGAAUAGGAGGUUAGCUCCAGACUAAGGGAACUGAGCUUUAUGGGACAAGUUAGUCAGAAUUAAUUCCCUCCCCUGCCCCGUUGUCAGUGAAAAUGUGUAAUCCUAACCAAGCUGUCUCAGAAUAAAAUUCUGUUGAGUUCAACCCUGGGUAAAUGGAGUUAGGACUGCUGACUUUGAAUAAAAACAUUAAAAACAGAUUUAACGAGCACAUGACUUCCCCCAAAGAAUCAUGGGAACUGUAGUUUUUUAAGGUUGCUGGAAAUGGUACAUCUGUGCAGAGGAAAUUAUGGUAAAUGUGUGCUGAGUAUGCUUUAAAUGUAUAAUGUGGACUCACAGCUAGUGCAGCUAACUCAGACUAGAUCUAUCCCAUUGUAUUCUCUAAACAUCACAUCACUGAUGAUCUCAAAUCACUCUGCACAUUGUAUGGAGCUGGUCACACACACACACAAAUUGUUACGUUAUUUGUCCAGAAGCAGUCAGGGGCUCUGAGGAGGAUGUCAGCCAUUUUAAGAGGUUGAUGUUGGAAGAGGCUUUGCCUGAACAGCUGAGCCCAGUCUGAACAUUUUUUUAAAACAGAGGUUUCUUUCCCUUUAUAGCUGAGAGGACAAUCCAGUGCUCUUAAAAUCAAUACAUGUUUUGUAAAUUACUAUAUUAGGACGAGGACUCAGGCCUGAGUUCAAGGCAGUAUCUAGCUUUACAUAAGCAAGCAGCACUGUAUACCCAUCUAGGGAUAAUUCAGUGGGCUAUUCCUUUUCUUCAGCUUUACCAACCUCGGGUACCGAAAGGUCUUCUGCUCUCUUAAUUAUCCUGCUUUGUUUUCCAUUGAUUAUCUGUUCUCUCCUGCUGCCCACAGGCUUGGAACAACACAUAAACAAACAAACAAAUCUCCAGAAUCUGCAGGAAUCACACCGGUGGGGAAUGUGCUGGUGAAACACCCAGGAUUCAGCUCUGACAGGUGGGUGGAACUGCCUUGAUGGGAAGGAUGACCUGAUGUCAUCAUGAUGCCAGAUGAUUGAUAGAUAGAUGGCUGGUUUUUUAUAUUUUAUAUUUAAAGUUUUAUUGAUUUUUUUUUAUAUAGAAAAAGAAAGAAAGAAAACAAAGAAUAAAAAAUAUAAACCAUAAAGCAUCAAAGCCUAUAAGGACAAAAGUACAAAGAUACAGCACAGCUCCAAAGGGGCAAUAGAAGUAUUAACUCAUACAAAUAUUCCUUUUACAAAUAAUACAGAUAUGUAAAAACAGAAGUAUUAUCUAUCUGUGAGUUCCAUCAUCACUGAGAGCAAAGAUUCUACAAAGUCUUAGCUGAGCCAAAGGUUUGUGUAACCUGGUGCCACUAAGCAACCACAUGCCUCAAUAUUCAUAUGAGAAAUAAAACCAUGCCAUGCAUUAAAAAAGGUCAUUUAAGCUCUAACCUUUACAUACUUUUAGUUUAUGAGCUAUCUUUUCAAGGAGGGCAAUUCACCGAGCCCUGGAGACUAAGUAAUCCAAAUUAUUAAGGUGGAAGGUUUUCCAGGAUUUGGCAACGGAGCCCUGGGCUGCUGCUAAGAGAUGAGAUAUAGGUUCUUUGUUUUUCACAUCCCAUUCUGUUUCUAUAUACAGUGGUACCUCGGGUUAAGUACUUAAUUUGUUCCGGAGGUCCGUUCGUAACCUGAAACUGUUCUUAAUCUGAAGCACCACUUUAGCUAAUGGGGCCUCCUGCCGCCGCCGCGCUGCCAAAGCACGAUUUCUGUUCUCAUCCUGAAGCAAAGUUCUUAACCUGAAGCACUAUUUCUGGGUUAGCGGAGUCUGUAACCUGAAGCGUAUAUAACCUGAAGCGUAUGUAACCCGAAGUACCACUGUACUGGUUCAAAUGUGUCUGGUGGAAACGUGGAGUAAGAGUUUCUUUCUCGAGCAAAGGGAUCUCAGUGAACACCUUAUUCCAAAAUUCAGCCGCCUUUGAGCAGUCCCACCACAUAUGUUUAUAUAUACCCACUCCGUGGCAGCCCUGUAACACAGUGAAUGUUAUACCUGGAUAUUAUAAAGGAGAGCUCUUGCAGAGCAAGGUACUAGCUAUGUACUAACUUUAGUGAGAAAGCUCAAGCUGAACACUUGUCAAAGUUGUUCUGCAGGGACAGGGAGGACAGACAAAGAUUUGGCCCACCAGGCAGAAAUGUUAUUGGUAGCCUUAUACACCAAGUACACCGUUUCUAUACCAGUGGAAUAGCUACUGUACCUUACACACAGUCAACUCAGAAGGGGGAAAUGAACAAAUAAAAGAAACAAAAAUGUUGUAAACAUAGCAUACAUGCCCACGGCAUCCCUAGAAACAUCACCAAAGCCCACCAGUUGGGCACUGGGCCAGUGAUGAUGGCCACAUGCUCCACACAUAUAGGAAGACAAUGACAUGAUGAUGACGGGAACACACCCCUUCAUCACCACACACACACACAGCACAAGAUGACAUCAUGGGACCCCGCCCCAGCUGCCCCAGUGAUCCUGUCACUUACUGCUGCCACCAGUCCCUACGGAUUGACAUUCGAAGCCUGUCAGGCUGCCAUAGUUUGGUAGGAUAACACACUAUGGAAAGGGAGUCUGUAGAACACAGCACCUGCAUAACCCCUUGGGAAGGACAUAUCCCCCUAUUCCCCUCUCCCCAGGGGAUACAUCUUGUAUAUAUAUUUUUAUUGUAUAAGAUACGAAAAAUCCAUGCAAGAAUAGUGGCUUAGUGGUUGCAAAAUUGGUACCAAGAGUGCCUAUACAGUGAUACCUUGGUUCUCAAACACCUUGGUACUCAAACAACUUGGAACCCAAACACUGCAAACCUAGAAGUAAGUGUUCCGGCCUGUGAGCUUUUCUCGGAAGCCGAAUAUGCUCCGUUUUGAGUGUUACGCUUCUGAUUUGAGUGCCACACUUCUGCUUUGAGUGUUACACUAAGGUCUGUCUGCUUUUGCUAUUUAUUUUGCGUUUUUGUGGCUCUUUUUUUGUUUUUGUGACUUUGUGGAACCCAAUUCAGCUACUGAUUGAUUGAUUGUGUGACUGCAGUACAUUGUUUAUUGCUUUCAUUUUGUGGAUCGAUGGUCUUGUUAGAUAGUAAAAUUCAUGUCAAAUUGCUGUUUUAGAGGUUGUUUUUAAAAGUCUGGAACGGAUGGAUCCAUUUUGCAUUACUUUCUAUGGGAAAGCGCACCUUGGUUUUGGAACGCUUUGGUUUUGGAAUGGACUUUCGGAACGGAUUAAGUUUGAGAACCAAGAUACCACUGUAUUAGGCACUGCUCUUUCAGAAUGACUAUGCACAUUUGGUUAUCAUGACUCAGUGCAACACCUGAGUUUGUAAGGUCUUUUGUUAAUUGAUAGGGAGGUAACUGGCAUGGUUAGCCACAUAUAAUAGCCAUAUCUGGUAUUAUUCAUAUUUGCAGAUUGGGCACAAUUAUCAGAAUAAUGCAACUACCUGUGCUGAUUAGUACCACUUGUAAAUAAUAAACCAAGUUAUGUGAGCAGUGGGUCUUUAUUUGAUCUUCUUUUCAACUACAUUAAAAUUCAUAGCUUUGUAAGGAACCAGUAAUAAUUUUGUUUUGCGCUAUAUUCAUUACAGUGCAGCUCUCUGCAUCACUUAGGCAAACUACUGAAUGAAUGAAGGAUUAUGAGCUUGGGAGAUACAGCAUGCUUAAGGACAUGCGGUAAACACAUGCAGAGCUCAAAUUUGAACCCAAGACUUACUGGCUAAUGGCUUAUGUUCUUAACCUCUUAUACUGAUUUUUUAUUAUCAUUCCAGGCUCCUAACAAGUUUCCAGUGGUGGUUGGCAAAAGUGGUUAGAAUUAGAUCACAAAGACAAAAUUUAAAAGAAAAUCCAACUAGCUUGUUUCUGGUAAGUCUUGAUUUGCUUGUGUGAGGUUGGAAUAGUUCAGGUCACUGGAGAACUUCAUCUAAUUUGAUAUAGAAUAUAUGUCAGAAAAUUAGUUAUUAAAUAUUAGUGGUUUCUUCUUUCGUGUUCAGCCAGUUUUUAUCUGCUGCACCCAUCUCUAUUUUUAAAUUGGUUUUUGAUGUGUAAUUAUGUUAAUUGCCAAAGCAAAAUGGUUAUACCCAACCUAUCUGCAGUCAAACUACCUCCCAAACCAUGGUGUUGGCUGGCUUAAUAGGCAGUUUAAAUAAUGUCAAAUUGCAGGAGUUUAUUAAGCUGCUGUGAUAAUGUACGCAAAGCGCUUUGAACAUUUAAAAGGUGCUAUAUAAAUGCUAAGGGCUAAUAGCAUUUAUUCCCAUGAAAUAGUAAUGACUUCUUGAAAACGAAAGGAUGAUUUAUUCAAUUUAUACUCUGCAAAUGAGUAAUGGGGGCUGAUGAAUAUGAUAAUGAGGAAUAGAUCGGUUUCAAAUCCCUCUGGGAUUUGGGUCCAUCUUCAAGCGCCGUAGGACACUAACCCCAGUCCUUAGCUGUAGAGGCCCAGAGAUGACACAAUGGUUAAUACAUGCUCUGAGCUCGCAUAUUCCCUAUAACCAAUGCUGAAAGUGUGUGUGUGUGUGUGUGUGUGUGUGUGUGUGUGUGUGUGUGUUAGUUAACCAGCCUGACAGGGCCCUGGAUGCUAUUAUUUUCCUGAUUCUCUCCAAACCAUCUUAAUAGCAAACCAAUUGACACCCUUUCAUUUCCGGUUCUCUUAUUAGUUUCCCUGCCUCUCCCUUUCAUGCCAUUUCCCUUCCCCAAUGCAGUUUUUCUGGUGAGGUCAGGUGAUGGAGGCAUCCCCUGCUGUUUCUGCCCAUUUCCACUGCCUGUGAAUUAGCUCUUGUGGAGGCAGCAUUUCCUGUCAGUGAGUGACAAGAGGUGCUGUAUCUGACAAGAUGAAUUCAUUCUCUCUUUCUCAGUCCCUCUCUCCUUUCUUCUCUUCCUUUCUCGACCAGCCUCUCUCUACCUCUCCUUUGUUUUUAAUUGCUUUAGUCCUCUCCCUCUUUUCUCCUUAUAAUCUCUCUUCAUUUCUCUCUCUCUCUCUCUCUCUCCCCCCCCCUUUCUAUUAUCUCUCCUGCCCUCCUUUGUAUUCUUUCAUUCCCAGCAGGGCUCAUGCAUACAAAUUGACCCCCUCCCAGCCAGUAAUGUGACCAAAGCUCUUUGUGGCUCCUACAAUCUCUAUGGUAACUGUUCAGGGGUGGUGGUGGUGUGGGGCGGGGAGUGUCUCAAGAGUGGCGGUGUAGACCCAGCACUUAGGCCCAGAUAUUUUUGUUCCUCCUCACAUUGCAGAGCAUCCAUACGGAUCACCUGGCCACUCUUUAAAAAAACCAGCUGUUCUGUUUUUCACUCUUUGUGUCAAUACCUUUAAGGAACACUAAUGGUAGAAAACCCCCCACAAGGUUUAGGGGAGGGGUGGUGAUGUGCAAAUCUUUUCCCCCAGAUAGAAGAUAUGUUGCCUUCAGAAUUGUGUUCCACUGGACAGAGCUUUUUUUAAAAAAAACAUUAUAUCGAAUAGGUACCAUCCGUCUAUGGACAUUUAUUAUCAUCCUAGAGAGAGUGGCUGCAUUCAAAGGACAACAUGUGUUUAUAUUUCGGCAACAAGCAGCAGCAACAGCGAGUCUAAAUUGCUCAGAGUCUAAAUUGCUUGUGGGGGGAUUAAGUCUUUAAGAGGUUUGGAUGCCUUUUCAUCAGAAAUGUGGUUUGAGUUAUAGUUUUUAAAAUACCUGUGAAUCAGUUCUACCUCGGCACUUGAAGCUGCUCUCACUGCUGCUUUAAUCUUCCUGGCUGCUGCUUAUAAGUGAUCAGUUUCCUUACAAUAAGUAAAUAAAUAGAUGCAUAACCUGCUAAACAUUGCCUGUACCUUCCUAGUAAGCCAUGCUGUGCCAAUGGGCUGUUUCCAAGAGACAACUCUGUGGGUGAAGAGACUGAAAACAUGGCUUUGAAAAAUAAUAGUUUUUUUGCAUUCUUAAGAUCAUGUUGUACAGGUUAAUUAAUCCUUGAACAGCCUGUCAUCCUGACACAACCAGGGUGGUUAAUAUGUCCCCCGCAAUCCUUACAGUACAUGCAUGAGGGUGCAGAGAGGAUAAUAAUCUGCUUUAGCAAUCCUGUGUAUGAAACCACAGGACUGCCAUUUCCCCCCAAAUUAAUUGUUAUAAAGAGGAAGGUGGAGACCUUGUGUAUAUGACAAUUAGAUUUCAUUUGGAGCAUUAAUUUCCAUAACCAGUGACUAAAGUGAAGUGGACACACCGUGAAUUUGACAGAGGUGGAUUUCAAAUAUCACUUACCUCUUAACCCGGCUCAAAGGGUUGUAUUCAGAGUCUAUCCACUGAACUUAAUGAGCCUCUUAGUAAUGCCCAUUAACUUCAGUAGGUCUACUCUGAGUAAGGACUAGCAUUGAGCACCACCCAACCAAAGCACAUGCGGGAAGUACGCCAUCAUUUUAGGAUUCAUGCCCAUCACGCAUCCCUUCUGACCGAAAAUGUGGAAAAGUAUUUUAUAGUUUAACUCUGGGCAGAUUCUGCAUUUCCCCCCUUUUCUGUGUUUGUUUUAUUCAUCCCAGGUUGGCUCUUACCAUUUAAUACCAGAUAUCACUGUAAGAAACAUAAUAUUUAUUAGGCAAUUAAAGUUUAUUGCCUCCACCACUGCUGGGGGGGGAAUCUAUUAGUAAAUCCACAAAAUCUUUCACUGCCCUGUCACAUACCACAAACCACAUGACAUUCAGCACUUGGUGAUUUUAUACUGAUCUUUAAUUAAGGACAUUAAUAAACACCAGUACUGCUAAAAUAAUCUAUAGAUAAUGGGAAUGUUUAAUGAGCCACAUUGUCCUAAUAUGCAGGCAGUUUCUGGCAGGAGAGUCAGCAGUGAAAUAGUUAACAUUGUGGGCAUUUAAGUGGUCAUAAUUAACAGUCUAUUAACAUGAAUAGGGGAAGUUCUCACUUUGGACAGCUAUUGUUUCACUCUCUCUGUUUACAGACUCCACUAGACAACAGUGCAUAGCUUUGCCUUUGUGUGUGUGGAUUGUUUAAAAAGGAAUCAGGAGAAACAGACAUUUCAUCUUAAAAUUAAAACCAAACCUAGAAGGCUGUACAUAGCAAAAUUAUCAGUGUUGUUGCUUCUUUUAUUUUCUUACAUUUGUACCCCACUUUUCUUCCAUCAUAGGACCCCAAGACAGCAUACAUGUGGCCCCAGAGAAGUCCCCUCCAAUCAAUGCUGGCGUAGACCAGACCUAGACCUGCUUAGGCUCAGUAAGGUGACAGCCUCCUUUAUUUUCAAGCCAUGCCCUGUGUCCCAUAACACUUUGUGUAGGAAGCCUCAUUCAGAUCAGGGGUCAGCAAACUUUUUCAGCAAAGGGCCCGUCCACUGUCCCUCAGACCUUGUGGGGGGGCCGGACUAUAUUUCUUUUUUUGGGAGGGAAAUGAACGAAUUCCUAUGCCCCACAAUUAACCCAGAGAUGCAUUUUAAAUAAAAGGACACAUUCUACUCAUGUAAAAACACGCUGAUUCCCGGACCAUCCGUGGACUGGAUUUAGAAGGCGAUUAGGCCAGAUCUGGCCCCCGGGCCUUAGUUUGCCUCCCCAUGGAUCAGAUCCAUCUAGCCUAGUGUUUCCAUCUCCGAUUGGCAGCAGCUCUCCAGCAGGAGGUUUUCUUCCUAGCUUAGAAUCAUAGAAUCAUAAAAUUGUAGAGUUCGAAGAGACCCUGAGGGUCAUCUAUACCAAUUUCCGGUAAUGCAGGAAUCUCAAUUAAAGCAUCCACAAGAGAUGGCCAUCCAACCUCUGCUUUAAAACCUCCAAUGAAACCACAACCUCCCGAGGAAGUCCGUUCCACUGUUGAACAGUUCUUACUUUCAGAAAGUUCUUCCUGAUUGGUCGGAAUCUCCUUCCUUGUAACUUGAAUCCAUUGGUUUGAGUACUACCCUCUGGAGCAGGAGAAAACAAGCUUGCUCCAUCUUCCAUUGAUGUGACAGCCCUUGAGAUAUUUGAAGUUGACUGUCACAUCUCCUCUCAGUCUUCUCUUGUCCAGACUAAACAUACCCAACUCCCUCUCUAGCAUUCCUCAUGAGGCCCUGGUUUCCAGACUCCUUGAUCGUCUUGGUUGCCCUCCUCUGCAUUUGCUAUUUAAAUGGAGAUGCCAAGAAUCGAACCCAGGAACUUCUGCAUGUAAAGCACAUUCCUUACCACUGAGCUGUGGUCAGCCCCACAAACAGACAAUAAUUCUCAAACUGCAGCAUGAUACUGUGCCUCAGGAAGAGCUCCUUGUGUCCCAUAAGCCAAGUUGUCACAUCUGUCCACUGGGUAUGUGCAGCAGUGGCAGAGGAAGCCUCUCGGGCACCUGGGGUGGCAUGCCCAGGGGCGGGGCGAACCGCCCAUAGGGCAGCAUACCCUGUGCCUUCCCUAUGGGUGCCGCGCGCCCCGUCCCUAUGGGCACCACGCGCCCUGCCACAUAGGCUGCGUGGCACCCAUAGGGAAGUCAUGGGCUGUGGUGUGCGGCGCCCAUAGGGACGGAGCGCGCCACGGGGCCUUAGCCCCCCUACAGCUGGGAGGAGGCAGCAGGUAGACAGCGUGGAGCCUGCGGGCGCCGAAACACGUGGCGCUUGCACGCUGCAGGCCCCGCAGCAAGUGCCUCCCGCCAUUUUGUCACCCCCCCCAUCAGGGUGGCACCCGGGGUGCACUGCACCCCCCUUCCUACACCCCUGAUGUGCAGGAAUGUUUAGGGCAAGGCUAGCACACGCAGCAUCACCUCCUCUACAUGUUUUGCGAAUCUCUUCAGCAAUAAGGCAUGAAUGGGGCUGUUGAGGCAAGGCGACCACUCAUUUCUAAAUCAGGUGGUGCACAGGCUCAGGAAAAGGUCAUACAGAACCUUUCUUGCGUCUUUACAUUAAAAAGAAGUCUUAAUGAAUUGCUUCAUAUGAAAAAGGGUGGUGUCUUUUUCUCUUCCUCUCUAUUUUAAAACAAGCCUUUGACAUGUUACAAGCAGAGCGGCCGGCAUUUCUCCAUGAUGCAAGGCUGGUGUAAAAUCUUAUUGGCAAAACAAAAAGUCUAGCAAGUCCUGGGAAAAUGCAGGUGGGUAGAAAAGGUGCUCAGCUGAAACAAAAAAGGUGUGUGUGUUGUUUCUCUCUCCUGUGGAGAUCGGAGAGCAAGCAUGGCUCCUGUGCACCUCCAACUUAGAGCAGGAAUUAGGAACUCUUUACUAUCCAAGCAUAUAUUUCCUAUAACACGCUUCGGUCAUCAUUGUGAUUGCUUUAGGACUAGAGAGUGCUCAUACAGCAAAUAUUCAGAUUACAGCCCUCUUCCAAGCCAGUCUGCUAACUCUGCAGAGUUAAUCAGCACAGUUGACCACCCUAGCUGCAUUCAACAGGGAGAGCAUACCAUCCUGAGACAAGCCCCUUCUCACCUUCCAGCCCCCUCUCUUGCUUCUUUGCUCCCUCCCUGUCAGACUGCUGCUUGAUUCCAGCAGCCCCUUUCUGUGGCUCGUCCCCUGCUGAGCACAACAUGUGUAAUAUAGCAUAUCUGCAUCCUGAAAAUUUUGAGAAAAAUGCAAUAACUUCCCUCUCUAAUAUAUUUGGCCUAAAUUAUUAUUCUGAUUUUCAUUUUCAUUUUAUUAAUUGAGUCUCUGCUCAAAGUACCCAGAGCAGCAUGCAUUAUAAAAUGCAGAUAAUAAUAUAAUGAAAUAAUGAUAGAAUGAAUGAAAACAUGAAUCUAGCUAAAAUCUGCAGUAGAACUCCAAAUGUAAACCCAUUUACGCCCCCUGCCCAGCAGUACACAGAUACAGUAUAAGCUAUUAUUAUUAUUAUUAUUAUUAGGAGAUAAGCUAUAGUAGAGACAGUGCUUGUCUGUCUGCCUAGGCUGAUAAUCUAAAGGGACCUGAGAUGCUGCUUGUCUUGGGAUGUUGUUGCACUGCCUGUUUGUUGAGGGCACAGGCUCUCCCUGGGUGGCAUGCUGUCAGAGCAAGGGUCUUGCCCUCUAGCUAACCUGGCCAGCAGUCAAGGGAGCUUGCCAGGAAGACAAACAGAAUGUUAGAGAUAAUUAAGAAAGGAACAGAAUACAAUACAAUACAGGGAAUCAGUGGUGCAUGCACACUUUUUGCACUAUGCGUUAUCCUGGUCUGCUCAGAACAAUUAGCCAGUCCUUGUUAAGUAAAUUAUUCCUGGUCAUAAGGACGCCAUUGCAUAUCCCGGAUUAUUUAUUCUGGCUUUCUAUGAUCCCUUCCGCUUGUUCUAUAUUAGUCUGAAGGCAGCAGACUCUGACCUUGAUCCAGCGCCAUAGAUCACCUGGAUCUUUCUGGGAAGUUGAGUCCCUGGUUAAGUCUAGGUCUCUAGAGAAUGCAGAUGUGGCUUUCAUUUCGGAAUGUCUCCCUUGCCAACAUUGCUCACUAACAGCUAUGUGAAAGCAGCAAUUCAAUAGGAGCUUGAAGUUUUGGCAACGGGAAACUGCACCUGCUGAAUGUUUGCCUGGCAUCAGACUGAUAAAAGGACAGUAAACAUCCUGAGGUGGAGAGUAGCAACCUUAGCUUAGUUCUGAAAAACUGUGACUCCUUGGUGUAUUUUUCUAUCAAGCCUAAAAUUCCAUGUUGGGCAUUGGGAUAUACCAGGACAUUUCUUCUCAGUACCUGCAAACUGGCUGGGAAGUGCCUCUGAACAUGUGUAAGGUGCUUUUUGUUUACUGCUGGGAGAUUGCAAACUCCUUGGGGCAGGGAUUGUUCCCUCAUGAGUUGAAUUCACUUUAUAAAUAGGAAUAAUGCAGCUUUGUCCCACACACCAGAAGUUAAAAGCCACAGGGCUUAGUUCAGAAUAUACUGUUUCCAUACAGGCUUCAGCCCCAGCAUUUCUCUUCUUCCAAACUAACAUUGCCCUCUUGUAUUUGAUUAAAAUCCCUCCAAGGUAUAAGGAACUUGCACAGGUGGCAGAACAGUCCUGAGAAUCUGCUGCUCAAGUGUUAAAAUAUACCUCUGGUUUGCCAGCCUCCCAGGCUGGUAUUGGUUGAGUUGACCUUGCCCAACCCCUUAAGUCCUAGGGCUCCCCUAUGGAAAAAGUGAAUCUUAUCCUAUACCAUCCUUCUCUUUGUUCUUACCGACCUGCUCUUUUUGGGGUUUUGUUUUAUAUAUUCCACUGAUACAUACAAGUGGAGCCUGCAACUAUAUGUUGCAGUGUGGCCUCCUCCUGCUCAUCAUAUUAGUCAGCCCUUUCCUGGAUGACUCCAUUCCAUUACCCUUCCCCUCCGGCUUACUGCUCCACCCCACUCAGUCAGCAUUUUGUGGUUACAGAGUGUGCUUGACCUUCAUUGUUCUGCCUUGGGUCCCCCCCACACCAUUGCCUUAGAGCAGUGGUGUCCAAACUUUUUUUUAAAGAAGGCCAGAUUUGAUGAAGUGAAGGGCCGUGAGGGCCAACUGGAAGGCCAACCAAAGUUGUUGACCUUUGAAGGACUGAAGUUGUUAAGCUUUUGUAUGAUUUUACCCCGAACUUGUUGAGCUUUUUUUGGGAGGGAUUAAAGUUGUUGAACUUUAUUUUAGGGCUACAGUUGUUGAGGUUUUUUUUAGGAUUUUACCCCAGGAAAUAAAUUGCCACAGCGGCCGGAUUAAACCAACUGGCCAGAUUAGGCCCCCGAGAUGGACUUUGGACAUUCCUGCCUUAGAGUCACCCCCAAAAUAUUUUGGUACACCUGCAAACCUUGAGGAUCCCCCAAAGCCUGCUGGUAUGUCCCUCAUGUGGGUGGGCAUUGCUAUUUUGGCUGCAAAGGAUUCACCCAUGAAGAGCGGACUAUACUGGAGGUUUUCAGUCUUUUUGAGUCAGCUCAGUUGGUUGGAGCAUAGUUGGUUAGAGCGUAGUGCGUUAACCUGUUUCCCCAAAGGCAACAGGUAAGGUUGUGGGUUCGAUCCCCAUCUGGGACAGCUGCAUUUUCCUGCAUUGCGGGGGCUUUGACUAGAUGAUCCUCAGGUUCCCUCCCAACCCCACAAUUCUAUGAUUCCACUGCUCCCUUGACCAGCUACAUUCUUUCUGCGGCUUCCCUGUGGACAGUCUCCAGCACUUCCUUAUACCUGUUUAGUCAAAUAUAUUCAACUGAGUUGCAUGGGGCUUGCUCUUACUAUGCACUGGACUGCAGGUUUUUUUUUGCUUUUUUUUAAAGUCAAUCAUAUUGAAGCAAUAAAUAAAUAAUUUUUCCAAUUAACAGGUUUCUGGCUCAUCCCAGAUAACACUUCAAAUGCAUUGAAAUCCCUAUUUCUCUGCCAGCUUAACCUGUUUCCCCAAAGGCAACCCAUACAGGUAAGUUUUACAGUGCUUCUAAAAGAUGCUCUGGCUUAGAUUUUGGAGAGGCAUCAUAUGAAGGGAAACCCUAAGCUGGAGUCUCCCAUGCAGAAUUCCUCUCUCUCAGAGGUGGUGUCUGUUAGUUGGGCAUCAUUUUUUUAUCAAUGUAGUGCAUCUGUUCCGCUCUGUGUUGUUCAUCUGUCUGUUCCUCCAAUCUCUUUGGCCUGAUCCCAUGCCAAGCAGUUCAGGCAGAAGGCUAUGGCAAUGUGAAUGAUUAUUUAAUGUAUUUUGGGGUGUUUCUUACGUGAACUGUGUGUUGAUUUACAUGGAUCCGUUACACUAAUAUGAACUGCAGCUUGCUCUCCAGACUGUGCAGGAUAAUUAACUCUUAUGCCCGUGAAAUGCAUUCCCCUUUAGGUUAAUAUUUUACAGUUGAAUAAAAAGGGGUUUCUGACCUCUUCAUUUAGAUGAGAUGAGGACAUGGCCAUCGUUUAUGAAAUAGGCAGAUCAUAAUGUGAGAUUUAUUGGGACAGCUGCAGCUUCUGCAGUCCAUUUGAGACAUGCAGAGAGUAUGUUACUUUCCCUUCCGUAGUACAAAUGGAUACUUCCAGGGCUCCUUUAUGGCAGAGAUGUCUGCAAUUUGAUGUUGUGUUAUGGAAUAUAAGAUGCUGCCUUAUGGCAAUUCAGACCAUUGGUCCUGCCUAGCUCAGUAUUGUAUACAGUAUACUGACUGGCAGUGGCUGUCCUGCCAGAUUUUAGACAAGUGUCUCUUCUGAACCAAUGUAGAGAUGCUGAGGGUUGAACCUGGGACUUCUUGCAUACAGUGGUACCUCGGGUUAAGUACUUAAUUCGUUCCGGAGGUCCGUUCUUAACCUGAAACUGUUCUUAACCUGAAGCACCACUUUAGCUAAUGGGGCCUCCUGCUGCCGCCACGCCGCCGGAGCACAAUUUCUGUUCUCAUCCUGAAGCAAAGUUCUUAACCCAAGGUACUAUUUCUGGGUUAGCGGAGUCUGUAACCUGAAGUGUGUGUAACCUGAAGCGUAUGUAACCUGAAGUGUAUGUAACCCGAGGUACCACUGUACAAGCUAUGUGCUCUAAGAAAAGCCCUGCUCUUGUAAUGUGAGGGUGGAUCUGAGGUUUGUUCUACUGAAAGAGAGGAAGUAAAUAUUAUUUAGGACACAGAAAAUAACCAAAGGAAUUAUGAUGUUCUGCAACCCUUACAACUUCAGAUAUCAAUCCUGGUGCGGGGAACGUACAAAUUGAUGUUAGCAGGGGCGAUCCGAGGCUUUUCGCUACCUGAAGUGAAAUAUCCCUCUGCCACCCCCACAAUGAGUGGGGAGACUACAUAGGACUCCCUCCCCCCCCAGAAGCCCGUAUGGAGUCUCUCCUCUGCCAGGGAGAGAAACCCUGCCACACCGCCCAGUGGUGGUAGGAAAAUCUUUUCCAGAUCCCCAGCCCCUCGUCUGGCAUGGGCGUGGCCAAGGGGGGGCAGGGACAGGCAGCUGCCCCCCAAUAAUUUUUUUUAAAAAAAUAUAUAGCAAACUGAAGUUCUGUCCCCCCUGCAAAAGAAAUAUUUGAAGGCCUCUUUCCGUGUAGUGUUUGGAAAGAAACACAUAAAUGCAUAUCCUCCUAUUCAAAUUUACAUGCAGAGGCCAAAAAAACCAAAGUCUUGUGAAUGACAUUCUGUCACAGAACUGGGCUCUCCCCUCACCCCCACAAAAAGACACUGGAUGUUGCUGUGACAACCUUUUUCCUUCUCUCUAACAGAUUAUGGUCAUUGUUUUGCAUCAAAUGAGUAUUUGCAUAACAGAAAUCUGUCUUUAAUUACCUCUAAAACAGCUUCAGAAGGGUUUUUGUUGAGAAUUUGGGUGUGUAUGUGUGUGUGUUUUACUUUUAAAAUUUAUUCUGCAUGAAAUUAUCUUUUUUUGGAACAUUGUAGAACAUGGCACGAUCCUCUGGGGAAUGAAUGACUGACAGAAGCCAUACUGUUGCUUUUGUGGAUAAUGCCAGUUACAUUACAGGCAAGAUGGCUGUCUCCAGGAAGUGGCUCUGAGUGAGAGAAGUGUGUCUGCUGCCUGUCUGGUUUCACACAAAAGUCUAGUGUGAUUUCUAUGUAGCAAUGUGCUUUAACUCUUCUGUGCUGCUUUUUUUACACACCAAUGGAAUCAUUCCCUGGAGAAUAAUUUCUUAUCCACUGAGUAAUACUGGUCCAGAAAUUAUUCUCUUAAUAACAGACUUGUGUGUCUUCUAUUGCAAAUGCUGAAUAUUUGUUUGCUUUUUCCAGAGCUGCCGAAGGCUCAAAACUCAUUAGUCACUACAAAAACCGAGAGAUGGGAGGUUUUGAAAGCUGAGUUUUUAUACUGUAGUCCUAUGAUUCUUCAGAAGUAACUCCCACCAUGUUCAAUAAAGCUUACUCCCAGUACGUCUUACUUAAGUAUGUAUGGGACUGCAACCUAUAUGUAACUACUCAGAAGUAAGGCCCAGUGAGGUCAGUGGGGUUAGUUUCUCCCAUGAAAGUGUAUAUAGAACCACAGCCAAGCAGUGUGAAAUUCUUGGGGUUCUAGGUGCUUACCCAGGGUUUGUGUUUCCUUCAGAAAUUAGGCACAGCAGAGACUGUGGUGUCUUUAUAAUAUAUGGCUUUAUUUACACACAUAUACAACCUGCACCUAGAUGGAGGGAUUGCAGAACAUUCACACAUCAUAUGAGGAUCUGGCUUCGCCCUUAAGGGAAGCAAAAAACUAUCCUCUGCGACUCUUAGUUUCACCUGUCAUCCCCAUCUCACAUGGAGUUCUUCCCCAAACGACUCCAAGGGACCCCCCCCCAGCCUACAUCAUUCAAAGUUGAAACCCUAAACGUGGCCUUUGCUUCUUCCCACUAGCACCCCACUCCCCCUUGCUUGGCAAUCCUGGGCCAUUACUUUGCUUUGUUCCUUCAUGACUUACACUCAGACAGGCCUCUCUCUUCUUAGCAUAAGCUGAACCCAGGAAUUUCCAUGUUUGGCACAGUUGAAUCAAACCUUGAUUAAUUCUAACUUUUAUUGAUUCUAAUAAUUAUGGUGUGUCUGGCACCCAGGAAUUUAGGGGAAUCUGCCCCCUCCAAACCUAUAACAGUAUCUUACGCUUUCGGUUUCAUCCAUUUUCUUCUAGAGCAAAUUUGGAAACAUUCAUACACAGUGUCGAAACUGUACAUUAUUCUGUGACAGUGUGUAAUACAGACACACCAUUAGGUUUUAUAUAACUGGCAUUCAUAUGUAUUUGCUCACAAGCAAGUUCCACUGAGUCCAAUGGGAUUUACUCCCAGGUAAGUGUGCACGGGAUUGGAACCAAAACUAUGGCUGACACAUUGGGAGAGUCUGGAACCUACUUAUGAAUGAUCAUUCAUAGGAUUGGAUUCUGUGUGCAUUAAUUCCUGGUGCUAUUUACAUUUACAGUCAUACCUCAGGUUGAAUGCGCUUCGGGUUGAGCCCGUUUGAGUUGUGCUCCACGCCAACCCGGAAGUAACGGAGUGCGUUACUUCCAGGUUUUGCUGCUUGCGCAUGCGCAGACGCUCAAAAUGAUGUCACGCGCAGAAGCGUCGAAAAGCAGCGUGCGCGUGAGCAGACGUGCCAUCGCUAGUUAUGUUUGCUUCUGGAUGCGAACGGGGCUCCGGAACAGAUCCCGUUCAUAUCCAGUGGUACCACUGUACUCCACGAUUAUAUAAAUAAAAGCACCAUUGCUUAAAAUCAUAUGUAGUACAAGUUGCAGACCCGUAGGGAUAGGCAAACCUGUCCAUUUCCAUUUCUCUCAGAUUCUCAUUUUUCCAUCCUUAAAUUCAGUUCCACAGUUUCCCACAACAGUUUGCAUUGUUUUUUUUAAAAAAGUCUUCAUGAAAAUUCAUCAGCAUUUUAGUGUGAAUUUCUCCUAAUACACACAUUUUUUUCCAAAGUAAUUUAAUCUAUUAUGGUGCAUUCUUGUAAUUUUCACCAACAUAUGUAUUUUUAGACAUACUUAGCCCUCGUAUAUGUAAUUUUUGUACACAUUGUUUGGCUGGAGAACUGUACUGUAAAAUUAGGAGAGGUGCAAAUCACAAAGGAUGGCCGCAUUUCAGUUUUGUAUUUUGUAUCGUAUUGGAAAGUGCCAAAUAGGUAGGUUUGCCUUUAAAUGUAAAUGGAAUUGGAUUUCUUUCUCCGUCUCUAGAUACCACAGAGGUUCCAUGUGUAGGGAAAAGUGGGUUAUAAAAUGUACUAAAAGAAUAUGACAAGCAUCAGCAUGUGUAAUGACGAACGUUCUGGAAAACUGUUGGCAAAAUAUAUAAAGCCAUUCACAUUUAUUCUGCUUGCUUUCUCCUGCCCAUGCAGAAUUGCUUAUGAAGAGGCCUUCACUCUUGCAAAUUCUACUGAAUGUUUAUUGGGCACUGUUUAUAUAUGAAUGCUCUUGAAUGGAGGUGGAGCAGCAGUUCGGCUUGCCAAACCCUUCCCGCUUGAUCUCAUUGAUAAUGGAGCCGAGUGAAUAAUCUGGAAAUCAUUUAUGUCAAUAGCCUGUUUCUCUGCCUGUGCAGUAUUUGUCAUUACACCACAGUUUCCACAGAUUUAUUCAUUUUUUUCCUGUUGUCUUUAAAUUUAUUGGACUUUUAGGCCAUAAAUAUUUCAGAUGUAUGUUGUCUGAUUUACAGUCUGAUCCAAGUCAAUGGGGCUACAUUGGCCGAAAUCCAAGUUCUUUGGCUUAAUUGGGCCGCGAAUUGAACUGCCCAUUUUUAUUGGACAGGCUUGUCAAUUGGCACUCUCCGGUUUCAUGAUUGCAUGGAAACGUAAGAAGCGCAAGUACAUUUUGCAGUGUGCGUCUGUGUAUGUGUGUGUUUGUGGGGGAAAGAGAGAGAAUUUAAACUUUUAUGCCUCCAAAUAAAUUCUUUUGUAUUCCUUUCAUUGUCUCCUGAUCUUCUGAGAGUGAGAAUUAGCUGUCAACUUUCACUCGGUAUUUAAAUCAGUGUGUUUAUCUCCACAGACUUGUUUAUUUCCACUGGAGACAAAUUGAUGUCACAGCUGGUCUUGCUUGUUUGAAAACCCCUUGGUGCUGAGAGCUGCCGAAGCAAUUUUACCUGUUUCUAGAGCUUGUCAGGAAAUGGAAUACUUAUAGCCUUAGUAAUUUCCAAGCAGCUACCAAGUUUGGCUGCUGAAGGAAUCACAGGAAUCAUGCCCCAUCAUAAAGUUGCCCAUUCUUGCUGAAUCCUUAAACCUACCUUGCUUGUUUUGAAAAGGCUGCGUUGUUAGUCACAGAGAAGGGAGACUUGUCGUGUUUUAUGCUUGUGUUUCAUCCCCUCCUGGGGAUGAAACGAAUGACGUCUAAAGGCCACUGAAGCCAUGUCCACAUCAGAGGAAAUUUGAGAACCUCAUGCAGACUCUGCCAGAGCUGGACUAGAGUGGGAUGCGUCUUCAGAUGUAAUGCAGUUCUAACCCAUGAUGCAUUGUAACAUCUGAACCAACCUCAUCCUCCAACAAAUAAUGAUUUGCCAUCAGGCCAGGAUUUAAGACGAGGUUGAAAUCUUGUUUGCGAACCAUACUUUGGGCAAAAUCAUAGCUUGACAUUGCAUUUGAACUAAUCAAACUUUAUGAUCUGUGGAGCAGUUUAAGCCUUUCCUAUAGCUCUCCCUCUUCCUCCUAAAACGUAUGGACCAUGAGGACAGCAAGUAAAAGGUAAAGGUAAAGGGACCCCUGACCAUUAGGUCCAGUUGUGGCCGACUCUGGGGUUGCGGUGCUCAUCUCGCUUUAUUGGCCGAGGGAGCUGGCGUACAGCUUCCGGGUCAUGUGGCCAGCAUGACUAAGCCGCUUCUGGCGAACCAGAGCAGCGCACAGAAACACCAUUUACCUUCCCGCCGGAGCGGUACCUAUUUAUCUACUUGCACUUUGAUGUGCUUUCGAACUGCUAGGUGGGCAGAAGCUGGGACCGAGCAACGGGAGCUCACCCCGUCACGGGGAUUCAAAGCGCUGACCUUCUGAUUGGCAAGUCCUAGGCUCUGUGGUUUAACCCACAGCGCCACCCACGUCCCAGGACAGCAAGUAGUUGGCUGUACAGUGGUACCUCAGGUUACAUACGCUUCAGGUUACAUAUGCUUCAGGUUACAGACUCUGCUAACCCAGAAAUAGUGCUUCAGGUUAAAAACUUUGCUUCAGGAUGAGAACAGAAAUCAUGCUCUGGCCGUGCGGCGGCAGCAGGAGGCCCCAUUAGCUAAAGUGGUGCUUCAGGUUAAGAACAAUUUCAGGUUAAGUACGGACCUCCGGAACGAAUUAAGUACUUAACCUGAGGUACCACUGUAAUUCACAGGCUGAAGGAGCAAGCCUUUAUAGGAUGUAGCCUACCAGUGUCCUAAAGCUACUCGUUCCUUGUAAAAGGGAGCCAAUAGGCUGCUUCAGGGAUUAGCAAGUCUUCAUUCUCCUAGUUGAACCAUACACACAUUUAUGGCACCAGGCAACUAUGGGCUGAGUGAGAUCCAGCUGUUCAGCCCCACUCCCUUGCCUCUGAGCACCUUGGUGGGAGCUUGGUGGCAACAGCGAGCAAAGGAAGACUGGUCUCCAUCAUGGGAUGAGAGAAAUCCAGCUGUCCAGCUCCAUCCUUGGAGGACCUCAGGUGGAGCUGCUGACUGAUAUGACACUAGGAAAGGACAAGGGCAUAUAUGGAUCCUGUAAUUUCUGUUCCUGUGCUAGAUUUGAGUGUAGUUUUAUUUUGAGAAUCUUUUGUAAAUAGCUUUCACGGCUAGAAAGCAGAAUAACAGCAUCCUGUGGUGAGAUCUUUGCAUUUAAUACCUAAAUAGAUUUGGUGAGCACUUUUGAAGCUCAGUUGUAACCCCUACAACAUGGUAACCUUCUUUAUGACCCCCAAAUGGCCUUGUUUCUAGAGGCUGGUGUUAUGCCUAACUCCUCUUGCUUUUACAUCUGCUUUGAAGAGAAUAAACUUGUCACAUUUCCCCUGCCUUAGAGCACAGCUAUGUAGUGGACAAUGCAGCUGAUCGUGACUUUUCCCCCUCUGCCCUUUCCUCUUUUUCUACCCUGUGCCUCACUGAACUGUUUGGCAAGGAGUUUCCUGUGCACAUUUGCUUUGUGGCUGGCUAAACACAUGCAACUAUCACCGCAAACAAGAUGAAGUGUUGUGUUUGCUACUGGAAUCAUCUAAACUGUGUACACACUAUAUACCUUUAGAGCACACUCAAAGCACGUUCUUUCCCUCUAAGAAUUCUGGGUACUGUUAAGAGUUGCUGGGAAUUGCUAGUGCAGAGAGCGGAGGCUAGUCUGCUUGUGGGGGCAAACUACCACCAGCGUUGAACCCUCUGCUUGCAGGAUUUGCACUGGCUGCAGAUCUGCAACCAGGUCAAGUCAGUACUAGCCUAUAAAUCCCUAUACAGCCCAGGACCAGUUCACUCUGGUUUGUGGGAGAAUUUCUCUGGCAAGUUCCAAAAAUCUCAGAAGCCUGUGACUGCCUCUGUUCUGUGGAAUCACAUUCCUGUCAAGGUACAACAGGCAUCCAGAGGAUUGGCAGUUGAAAUCAAUGGAAUAUGCCAAAUUGGCAAGUUUAACAAGUAAAAUUAGAAAUCAAGUUGAGGCAAAAUUUAAGGAGAAUUGGAAAAUGUUUGUAGAUUAUUAAAAAAAAUUUGCAAGUAGCCUUAGAGUAAAAACAGCAGUAAAAUUUAAAUUUGAAAAUAUUGUGGAGAAGAUAAGUCAUAGAAUAACCAUAAUGUGCAGCAUUAUUUGGUAAAUUAGGGAAAUCAUGGAGGUAGGGGUAGUCUAAAGCCAAGUGAUUGUAAACUGGAAAAUGUUGUACCGUAAAUUCUUUUGAAAUAUAUAAAUAAUAUAUAUAUAUAUAUAUAUAUUUAAUGCAGCAGGCAUCCACUCUCUGUACUUUUCAGAAAUAACCAAUACAUUUUUGUUCCAACAGGCUUUCCCAGCUGGAUAAAUGUGUCUUUACCACAAGUCUCCACUUGUUAGAGUUUUUGUUUUGUUUUAAACGUAUUUGUUGCUUUUAAUUGUUUUAAAUUAACUUAUAUGUAAAUGUAAAUUUACAUGGUGAUGGUGGUUUACAAGGCAAUUAAUUAUUAUUAUUCUAUAUUUAUUUAUACCCUGAUGUUUCCCUUGACAGGAUUCAAGGCAACUUACAGAGAAAAAUCAGGCAUUAAAAUAUAAUUAGACAUUGACAGAAUUAAAAAUAUAAACAUGUAUAAAAUCUAUUUAAACCAUACCAAUAAUUACAAUAGGAACAUCAUGGCACCAUCCUAUUCAAUUCCCAAAGGCCUAUAGAACAAGAAAGACAGUAAAGAGAGAGCCAGUCUAGCUUUUUAGGGAGGGAGUUCCAAAGUCUAGGAGCAGCCACUGAGAAGGUCCUCAUCCAUGUCCCCACAUUACGUGCCUGUGAGGCUGGUGGGACUGAGAGAAGGGCCUCCCCCAAGGUUCGGAUGAGGGAAUACAGUCUUUCAGAUAGCUUGGACCUAAGCUGCGUAAUAAAUCAAUGAUAGCUUUUCUACUUUAUUAACAAAGUGGGGUUUGGUUUUUUUAAGUACAAAACUUUUUCAAGGUUUUGGAGAAGGUGUCUUAGCGACAUCACUGGUGCUGGCCAAUCAGUGCCAUGCUUCUGCUGUGAAAUUGAUGUUUCCUUCUCCCUGUUACCCCAAGGCUUAACCCUGGAGGAGAAUAAGUAUAUUUGAAGUGAAUUGUGUUGAGGCUGCCGUAUGGCUCUAUACAUGCUUCAUCCUUCUCCCAAAAUUUCUAGUUCUGGCUUGCUUCUGAAUAUGGCAUCAGCAUACAACUGGCUCCACACAUGGCAGCACAAACAUGACACACCUAAAAGCACAGUGACCACAUGCAAACAGGGUCAUUUGCUCAGGCUCUUGUUUCAACAGAAUGUGGUUGGGAUUGCAGUGUUUAGUAACACAUGCAUGGAUCUUUAAUCUUGGAUCUUUAAACCUUUCAGACAUUCUUAAGUGUUUAUGCACUAGUUAAGUAGAAUAAAUUCUACUGAUAUAUAUAGAAAGUUUAAUUUUAUUUGUCUCAACAAUAUAGGAGCAUUAACUGGACUUAUUGUGAGUAGCUAAACGUUAAUUUAGGAGAAGAAGAGAUCAUUAGCUCUACUUCAAGGAGGAACAUUACAGUUUAAUGAGAAUUAAUAAUUUUGCAGUGCAUAGGAGCAUAUUGCCUCAAGCAAGGCAUGUUGCAAGCACAGUAUUACAAAUAGCUAUUUAAAAUUAAUGCCCCGAUACUAUCACACAUUGCUAAAUUUUCCAUAAUGAUUUUAUGCUGUUCUUGUAGGUAAAAUGUAUACUCAGGUCACACUGGACAAUAACGAAUGCUUUUAAAACAUGGGCACUUAGAUCUUAAACACACUAAUUGAAAAUCCCAUUGAAAUCAAUGUGACUUACUUACAGGCAAUGUGGCUAGGUCUGAGGUUACUGUCAGUAAUCUAUAAAUUACAUGAGAGUCAGGCUAUUUGAUUUAAGUCUAUUUAGUUCCACUGAACGCUUGAAUUCCUUAGACCAGUCUUCCACCACCUGUGGUCUUCUAUAUGAUGUUGGACUACAUCUCCCAUCAUUCCUGGCCAUUGGCUAUGGUAGCUUGGACUAAUGUCAGCUGCGGUUCAAAACAUCUAGACGGCACCAGGUUAGAUCCUCCAUUGCUCCAUAAUCUUAACUUUGAUUCAUGCAUACACUCAGACCACUGGAGAUGACAGUAAAGGGGCCAUGGAGCUGUCCUGGGCAUUUCUUAUUACUCAUCUCCAAGUCAAAAUUCUCUCAGGAUUAGUCGGCAGAAUAUUCCUGAUGGCAUCUAGGUGGUAUAAACUGCAGAAACACUCUUGCAGCUUCCAGUGACAGCAGGAUACUCCUGGUGGUCUGUGCUGGCUCCUGGUUGUCUAUGUGGCAGACUUGAUAUUAUGGGUUCUACAGUGUGCACAUGGCUGGCUACUCAAAGAGGAUGUGGGUUGAUCUCCUUCUUUAUUUAUUUUUAAUUUACUACCUGCCCUUCACCCUGGGUAUCUCAACCUCUAAUGAAGACCCCACUGACACAAAGUCUGAAGAUCUUAAGGGGGUCCUCUGUCUCCAGUGCUACUUUGGAAACCUCCAGCAUCUCUGGUGAAGCAACAAAAGGCCCAUCUGCAGCAGAGGACCGGCAGGGACCCUGGCUCAUCUGGAUGAUGAUGAUGAUGCACAUACCGCUUACUUGCCAAAAUGGCUUCUAAGUGGUUUACAAGCAAAAAGCGGAUACAGAUAUAAAACUGUAGCAGCUCCUUCACCUGUGCAAUUGGAGGGAGAAGUUGAUCCCCUCUGCGCCAGGGAUAAUCAGUGUCAGAAAGUGCAGGCGCAGGCAGUCCAUUGUUGAUGGAAGGCACACUUUGAGACCCAAAAGAACCAGGAUCCUCGUGGCGGACAAGAUGCAAGUGGGAAGGCUGAAAACUGGGGGUGAGUACUCUGCCUCCCUGCGAUUUCUAGCAACACUUCUUCAAAGAUGUAUUGACUUCUCCAGAGAUCCAUGCAAAGUGCAGCUCUACUGCAUUUCUAGUCUGGGUGAUGGUCCCAGUCCUGGUUGAAAGGCAAUAUUCAGAGGCCAGCCAUGAUCAGAAGCCAUGUAGUCUUGCUGUGGGGUUCCUGAGUGGAGAAGAAAGCUAGGACCAACCAGACAAGCACAAGAGGGCACCCCACUUCAGUCCAUGUGAAGAAGCCAACUAGAGACAGGCGGGUGGAUCUCAUUUCACCUCUGGCAAUGGGGCAGUGUCCUUCACCACAACCAAGAGUAACACACACACACACACAGAGACACACCUGUCCUCUAACAAGCUCUCACCCUCCAGAUGUUGCUGAACUGCAACAUCCCUCCUGACCAUUGGCUGUGCUGGCUGGGGCUGAUGGGAGUCAGGGCCCAACAACAUCUGGAGGGCCACGUGCUCUAACACCUUGAUGCCGCUCCCCCAGGGCAUCUACCGCCUGAGGCUCUGCAUCAUGGUAGGGCUGGUCCUAAGAGCCGCGGUGCUGUUGGCCCCACUUCCUUUAAUCUUUUAAGGUUGGGUUAUUUGUGCUGUGGUGCAUGCAACAACCCAGUCUGCAAAGAGGGCAGUUUGCACGGGGCUCAAAGUGAUGUUGAGUCCAACGGCAAAGUCUUGUCAAUUUAAAACUGGGAGCAAUUCCUGCUGAAGUCUUGGUGGAAAAGCUGACUUGAAUCCCACCCUUCUGGCCCCCUCCUGUCUCUCCUGCCACCCUCUCCCUCUCCCUUUGGGGCACUGCUGUAUGCUUGGGCACAGAACCACGACACAAAUUUGCAUAUGCUAAUUUACAAAUGCCUCUGGGCAAACGGAGGUGGUGGGUGGGUGGAGCCUCCCAAACACCAUGCUUAGCAAUGUGCCCAGAUGCCCUGCAAGCAGAAAUUAUUAUUAUUAUUAUUAUUAUUAUUAUUAUUAUUUUAAAGAGAGAACAUGGAGGGCUUUCACAAAAGAUCUGGGGCUGCAGCUUUCUCCCUCUUGCUGAGAAAGAGAGAAAAACUGACAAGUGGUUUCCUCACCCUUUUCCUGGAGCUUAAUUAGCUCCUCUGCGUGAGUCCCCAUUGUGCAAGCUGAAUGCUGCGGCAGGCAGGAGGAAGGGAAGGGGAGGGAAGGGAAGGGAAGGGAAGGGUGGCGCAUCAUCAGUGAGGUCAGACCUGCUGUCCAGUAUAGUGGCCUGAGAGUUGCACAGACACAUGUCAGGCAGCACUCAGAACUGCAAAGACUCUAGUUGCACGUACAUGUACAUUUAAAGCACAUAACUCCCCGCCCCCCUGAAUACUGGGAACUAUAGUUUACCCUCACAGAACUACAAUUCCCAGCAACCUUAAUAAGCUACAGUUCCCAGGAUUUUUUGGAGAAAGUCAUGCUUUUUUGGGAUGUAGGAUAUGGAUCUGCCCUCUUCUGGGAAAAUGCAUUUUCUCUCUCUUACUCUAACUUAUAAGGCAGAGAAAAUGGACCUUUUUUCUGUCAAGUGUUGUAUUUUAUCAGGCGGCUAAUGAGUGCUGCCUGCUUGCAGUGGGUGUGGCCAGAGUUGAAUGAAGCCAAAGCCAGAGCUGCAAGUUGGCUCCCACUUCUCUCUCUCUUGGUCUUGGUCUUUCUCUACCACCUGUCUUCUCUCUCUCUUUUACCCUCUCACCCCCCCCCCCAAUUUCUCCCCUACUUGCCAACUGCAUGAAAGUAGGCCCAGGUGCACUAUAAUAUACUCUCCAUUACAACUGUACAUGCAGAUAAACUUAGAAUGUGCUGCUAUCAUAAGACAAUACUUGGUAUGAAAAGUUGGUCUCCCCUACUAAGUGAGCCUUAGCAGCCUGUGCUACUGGACUUGCCAUAUGUCAGUAAACGGAUGGGGACAAAGAAGGAGUGUGGUGGGUAUUGAAAGGGGAAGGAGCAAAGAAACUAAUGCAUGCUGGUCACAGAGGACAUGUCCUUUAUGUGUACAGGUGGCAAUGAUUUAACACCUGCUCGUGCUGUCUGCAGAGUGUUCAUGUAUGGACACUUGCAAAGCAAUGUCUACAAGAAGUACUUUUUGAAAACCCCAAACCACAGUGCUUCAAAGGCUGAAGUGUGUACACAGCAACAUUCUCUUCUGUGCCGGGAUCUAAUGCCACAUACAGACUGUUUAGCAUAAUUGGUUAAUCCAGGACUGUCCUUCAACCUUCCCCCUUUCUGUCCUCGUGGUACCGUGAAUAAAGAAAAAAGGGUCAAGCCAGAGUUAUAUGCUGUUUUCCCCUUUGGGUUAAACCUGGUCCAUAACUUUGGUUUAACGUUGGUUCAGGAUUUAAUUAGAGCACACCAGGCACCAGCAGUUGUGCCCUAAAUCAUCUUAUCACCAUCUAGCUACU
This is a non-coding RNA of Podarcis lilfordi (Lilford's wall lizard), 30249 nucleotides long. The record is from the annotation of a GenBank genome assembly. Lineage: Eukaryota; Metazoa; Chordata; Lepidosauria; Squamata; Lacertidae.